CAAUAGCGUAUAUUUAAGUUGCUGCAGUUAAAAAGCUCGUAGUUGGAUUUCGGGUGGGAAUGGCCGGUCCGCCGUUUCGGUGUGCACUUGCUACGCCCACCUUGCUGCCGGGGACGUGCUCUUGAGUUCACGCUCGGGACACGGAGUCGGCGAGGUUACUUUGAGUAAAUUAGAGUGUUCAAAGCAGGCCUACGCUCUGAAUACAUUAGCAUGGAAUAACACGAUAGGACUCUGGCCUAUCUUGUUGGUCUGUAGGACCGGAGUAAUGAUUAAGAGGGACAGACGGGGGCAUUCGUAUUUCAUUGUCAGAGGUGAAAUUCUUGGAUUUAUGAAAGACGAACUACUGCGAAAGCAUUUGCCAAGGAUGUUUUCAUUAA
This 377-nucleotide ribosomal RNA is filed under the name uncultured eukaryote. Its description in RNAcentral is "partial 18S ribosomal RNA". It matches the Rfam family "Eukaryotic small subunit ribosomal RNA", at positions 592 to 976 of the family's 1831-position model. The record is from RNAcentral.